UCCAGCGGUGUGAGAGUGCUGAAUGAGCAGCUACGAACUUGUUCACAAACUACAAACGCGACUAAGCUUUCACCGGCUUGUCGGCACAUGAGGAGCCGCUUCGGAUAAAGAGCAGUCUGGAUUUUGGGAGCCUUUGGCUGGAGAGCGACCCAAAGUUGGGCUGUUUCUGUUGGACAGGGCCUUUGGACCUCCUCCAUGUUGCUGACAAGCCUGGUUGUCUUGCAGCCAAUCAGACAGGGACCUGGACUGAGAGAGGGAGCAGGACUUGCUACACCCUCACUAUGCACUAUACACCCAAGUACCUGAACCUCAGGAUUAACGUCACCAUGGCAUGUCGAGGACAUAGUGAACAACUCCUGUCAUGUUGCAGAGAAGUGAUGACCUAUCUGCUUUACAUGGAGCUUUGGACCUCCAUCUUGUUGCUGUGAUGAGCAUGGUUGCCUUGCAGUUGGACAAAGACCUGGGCUGAGAGAGGGAGCAGACUGUCUCUAUUAUUGUGGAUGGACAUCAUUGUGGCAUGUCAAGGACAUAGUGAACCAGACUGUCAUGUUGCAGAGAUGUGAUGACUAAUCUGCAUUUCAUGGACCUUUGGACCUCCUCCAUGUUGCUGGGAUGAGCAUAAUUGCCCUGCAAGGACCAGGACUAAUGACAGCCUCACUAACACAUAGGGGCUAAAGAUGUCAAAGUACCUGAACUUCAGGAUGGACAUCAUUGUGGCAUGUCAAGGACAUAGUGAACCACUGUUGUCUUGUUGCAGAGAUGUGAUGACGCAUCUGCAUUUCAUGAGUUAAGACCAUUGACACAGAGAGGGAGACUGCCCUUUUAAACCUGUGAACACAUGAAUGAGGAAAAGCAACAACCUUGAUAAGAAGUGACUUCCAAGACCACCUUGACAUGCAUUUAUGCUGUCCAGAGUUCCCUGCAGCGCUGCAUUCCUUCUCAUCACAGUGACACAUUUUGGGAAUUAUCCCUCAAUGCUUUCCUGGAGUUCCACUGCCAGAGCUGCAACUGGAGCCCUGAACUUCCCAUGCCAAUGGGUCCUUCAACUCAGAGGAGGAAGAGACACCAAGGAUGGCGGGGGAGCCCUUUGUCCAAGCUGAGGUCUGGAAAACAUUCUGCUCCUCGCCCACAUACAGGCACUGGACAACAAAACCAAUGAUGCACUCUGUCACAUGAAGUCCAUCUCACAUGAGCAAUGAAGAACCUUGAUGAAAUAUCAGGUUCUUUUGAAGAGGAUGGUGUGGUGAUCUGUGAUGUUGGCACACUCAGAUCAGUAAGUGUCCUCUGGAUGUGUAGUGCAUCUUUGAUAACACUACACUCAAAAAAAAAAAAAAACACAAGACAAAAGGGAAACCGCUCUGGCCAGGAGGACGCUGCCUCCUGCAUAAAUAUCUAUGGAACGACUGCCUGGACUAGGAGGGCAUGCUCCCUUCUUUUUAACAAGGCCAGACGUCCACUCUGGUUUCCCAGCAGGCCAAAUGUACUGUUGCAGUAACUGUGUGCACUUAGAAACAGUAAGUAGCAAUAAAAAAGGCAGCAUAAACUGGGUAUGCACAGUUGUGUUAAGCCCUUUUAAAGUUAUGUCACAGGAAUAGAAUAUCUGGGGGAUAUUAGAGGACAGUAAGUGGGUAGAAAUUGGUAGCAGAGACAGAAAAAUGCUUCAGUCAAACAUUCCUCCAUGUAGGCCACCCAAAUAAGAAAACUCUAGACAUUUAUACAGUCCACAUGGUUCCUUGGCUCACAAAAGGUUCUGGAUCUUUACACGGUCAAAUUUUAAUAACCAAUAUUAAAGAGUAAAUGAAAUUAAGUCCUUUGUCUAAUAACCUAAAAAAUCUAUCACUUUAAUCAAUUUGAUAAAAAAAAAGAUAAAACUGCAUAAAAAAUGAAAAUUCCUUAAAUUGCAGAAGCUGCUGGUGAGGUUAAAGUGGAAAUUUGGUGGGUGUGGCACCAUCAGUAGGGCCCGUCCAGGCUGCUACAGGAUGGCCGGGACCAAAAAUGAGUGCUGCCUGUUGAGCUUUCGGCCAUAUUCAGCUUUGAGGCCAGGGCUACGCCUGUACCUCGCGCCGCUGUGUGACCGCAGCGAUCACAGAAGGCCACACACUGCCGAGGCUUCAUCAGCUGCUUCCUGUCUGUGUCCUCAGUCUGUUUCACAGCCUGGGCAGCUGCAACUGUAGACACCGCGGUGGUCUGAGCCAGGGCGUAGAGUUCCUGGCCUCAUUUUUGUCCUGACUCGACCUGUGGCGUGGUCAUCCAAGGCACUGUCACAACCACAAGACACAAAUGUGUUAGAUGAUGUGGUGUUUGGUUUGUGCUGGUUGUCGAGUGGCCACAGGUAGGUUUGACUGUAACUUAGUGUUUGUGUAGUCAGGUGUUUAGGUGUCCACCUGUGGAAAGCUGACUUCCUGGGCACAGUGAAAGAAACAUCUCAGACAGACUUGUGAUCAUCUGCUUCCUGGUUGGUUUUCAUUUGCAUUCAGGGUUGGGGUGAGAGAAGCAUCUGCACUGAUCGUUAGCUGUCUGUCUGUGGGUUAUCCUGGAGGGUCUUGUCAUGCCCAUUGUCCCUGUGCAUGGUGCUUUACAGGACCAGUGAGGCUUGAGGUGUAGAGUCUUGUGUCUGGGCGUAUUGUGACUGCAGAAAACGCCUUGGUGUCCUGACAGCUCAGAAUCCCGAAACCAUAUAAUUGUGUACCUUUUACACAAACCCCUGAGCUCUCGGUACAUCAUGGUUCUGUGGUUGCUGUAUGCUAAGAUGCAGGACUCUCCCUUAAGCCUCGCAGGCCUUGUGGACACCAGGCAUGGGGAUUUGGGUUUGAGAAGACUCCUCAGGACAACCUGUAGACAGAUGGCUGACUGAUUAGUGUGCAUGGUUCUCUGAUUCUGACCCUUGAAUGUCAGUGAGACUACCAGGUUGUGGCUGAUCACAUCUUUGCCAGAGAUGGAUCUUUUCACCGUGCACAGGAACUCAAAUUUUCACAGUGGGAUGUUUGUUUGUUGGGAUCUGUUGUGAUCCAGUGGGACAGGUUUAGUCAGCUGUUUCAGUUGUGUCACGUUUAAGGUGAUAGGGUCUUUUCCCAGUGGAAGUAGCACAGGGUGUAGUGUUGGCACGUGAGUGCCGGACUGUUAGAGUAGCAUCUUGUGCCCUUUGCAUGCAGCAUCUGUGGGUAGUGUCUGGUUGUCCUUCUGGCUCAGGGGUUUGUUAGAGGUACGCUUUUAUAAGGUUUCGGGAUUCUGAGCCUGUGGGAUGACUAGAUGCCACCUGCACCUGCCGUUUUCAAAGCAGCAAGAUGGUUAGAUUAAGGUUUUACUGGCCUACAGAGUUCCUAGUCUAGGGCUUCAGGAGGAGAGGCAUUUCUUGGUGUGACAUGCCUCUGCUCUUGGUUUGUCUGAUGGUGAGUUGAUGGUUGUGUAAAGUUUUCGGCUGCAGUUUCUAGAGGGGAUGAAAUCCCUGCUGGUUAUGAACCUGAGGGUUUCUCUGUUUCUUUGUUGAUCAUUGAGUGGCCAUAGCUAACAGUGUUUAAAGGUAGGGUAGUUUGUCAUCAUAGCUGGUAGAUCACCCGAGUGAAAGGUUGGCAGAUAUCUUAGUGGUUGUGUAGUCAGGUGUUAGAUGCAUGCUUUAGACACUCGGGUGAAGGCUGGAGCAGAGCUGUCCACCUGUGGAAGGCUGACUUCCUGGGCACAGUGAAAGAAACAUCUCAGACAGACUUGUGAUCAUCUGCUUCCUAGUUGGUUUUCAUUUGCAUUCAGGGUUGGGGUGAGAGAAGCAUCUGCACUGAUCGUUAGCUGUCUGUCUGUGGGUUAUCCUGGAGGGUCUUGUCACACCCAUUGUCCCUGUGCAUGGUGCUUUACAGGACCAGUGAGGCUUGAGGUGUAGAGUCUUGAGUCUGGGCGUAUUGUGACUGCAGAAAACGCCUUGGUGUCCUGACAGCUCAGAAUCCCGAAACCAUAUAAUUGUGUAACUUUUACACAAACCCCUGAGCUCUCGGUACAUCAUGGUUCUGUGGCUGCUGUAUGCUAAGAUGCAGGACUCUCCCUUAAGCCUCGCAGGCCUUGUGGACACCAGGCAUGGGGAUUUGGGUUUGAGAAGACUCCUCAGGACAACCUGUAGACAGAUGGCUGACUGAUUAGUGUGCAUGGUUCUCUGAUUCUGACCCUUGAAUGUCAGUGAGACUACCAGGUUGUGGCUGAUCACAUCUUUGCCAGAGAUGGAUCUUUUCACCGUGCACAGGAACUCAAAUUUUCACAGUGGGAUGUUUGUUUGUUGGGAUCUGUUGUGAUCCAGUGGGACAGGUUUAGUCAGCUGUUUCAGUUGUGUCACGUUUAAGGUGAUAGGGUCUUUUCCCAGCAUCUUGUGUUAGCCUGUUAGCCUGUGCCUGUUCCUAGCUGCUUGUAUGUCUUUUUGAUUGAUUGAUGGUUUAUUAUGUGAUCCAUUGGUCACAGUUAGGUGAUAGGGUGCUUCUGAUAGACAUGGUUUGUGGCAGUGAGCAUAGACUCAGGAUUACUGCUGUGCAUUAGCAGAGAUGACAGGUUGUUAGAGUAGCAUCUUGUGCCCUUUGCAUGCAGCAUCUGUGGGUAGUGUCUGGUUGUCCUUCCGGCUCAGGGGUUUGUUAGGUACGCUUUUAUAAGGUUUCGGGAUUCUGAGCCUGUGGGAUGACUAGAUGCCACCUGCACCUGCCGUUUUCAAAGCAGCAAGAUGGUUAGAUAAAGGCUUUACUGGCCUUGCAAGACAGUGUUAGUGUAGAUUAAAACUUUUUUGACUUUUAGGUUUUGUAAGAAUUAUUGGAUCUAAGUGAGGAAGUUUAGUUGAAACUGCAGCCCCACAAUGCCUUUGUGUUUUGUGUGUCUGACUAGUCCACCGGUGAUCAUGUGACAGGCCUGGACUUGGCGAAUCUGAGGCCAGUAACUAUGUGUCAUGGUGAAGACUUCCUCGGGGUCUGUGCUCUGCACUGUUCAGGUUGUGUGAUGGUCUGACAACAUUCCAUUACAGACAUCACAUUUUUUCAUUUGUUUAAUUCCAUCUCUGGCUGUUUCCUGGCAUCUGGAAGCCACAUUGUUGCUGAUAUUAAGCUCGGGGUGGUGUUGCCUCUAGUGAUCGUUAAAGCGCUCCUCAGCAGCUCGAUGUACAGGUUUCACCCUGACCUCUCUGCUGGAUGUGGCCAGAGGCUCUACAGGCAGCAACAAUGGGGUCUCGGUCCUCCUGUUGCAGCCUGGGCUGGACGACACGGGGUGCCACAUCCACAACCUCACCAGCAGCUUCUGUCGAGGAAGCUGGGGCCAUUAUGAAAAUGGCCUCAGCUUCCUCGACAGGAGGGCCAAGGUAGCUGAGGGCCGUUACUAAAACAGCCCCCAGCUACCUCGGCGGGGGGUCCAAGGAGGUCGUAGGGCCUUCUACUAAAAUGGCCCCCAGCUUUCUUGGCUUGAGGGCUGUCUACUUCAUUAGCUAAAAGCUUUAGCCGUUCCCUUUGGAAGAGCUUCUAGGAAGCUCUUCCUGAUCUAGGAAGGGUUGGUCUUACCCUCACAGCCUUCCUAGAUCAGGAUUCACAGAACUGGUGCUGAACUACUGGUUGACAAAAAGAUUGAGUGGUACAGUCAGCACACAGUAUAUUGGCUGCCUUUAAAACACAAUGCUACUUUCAUUAUACAAGGAAUGAGUGAAUUCCACCACAUGGGUUCACUUUCAGUGUGCACACAGUGAAAUGCAGCAUGUCUUGUUUGCUUGGCCUUGCAUAGCAGUGUCAUCUCAUCGAAUUAUCUGUUUUUUCACAAUGAAACCUCACGAGUGCCAGCUGGCCAGUGUGUUUGAUCUCUGCUACUACUAUAUCUCUACGUCUGCCUGAACAAACAUUUUCAGACUGCUCAGUGUUUGGGGGGGGGGAGGUCUCACACUCAUCUAGUAUAGAUUCAAUAGUUAACCGCAUUAUCCCUGAAGUAGGGGCAAAACUACAGGAUUGGAUAAAUGUUAGGCCUAUUUUUGUUUGGAUUUAUCUUUAUUUUCAUUAACUCUUAAUUUUGUUUUGUUGGUUUUCUGGAUUUUUAGUUGGUUGUAGGGCAAAAUAUCAGAUUGCAAAAUGUGCAAUUUUUAUUCAACCUGAAUGUGUCAAAUACCAUUUAAUACAUCUUGCAAGCAUUUGUUUGUUUUUCUAGAAUAAUUUGCAAAAAUGAUUUGUUCCCUUCAGUACAAAAAAAUUGUAUCAAAUUUGCAGUACAAGUCAAAAUAUUUAUUUUAAGUUGGUUGUUUUUGCAGAAUUUUUCAGCCCUAGUGUUAUGUACUCAAUAUGGUAUUUGUUAUAAUACAGAAUCAUUUAUUGCUCUGUUUUAUUAAAACACAAGAUGACGGAUUUAAAAAUCCCAUAUUAAAUGGCAAGUUAAUAAUUUUGCACCAAACUAGGACUGAGGAUUUGGGAAAAUUUAUCAUAAUAUAUUUUGUUACAUUUUGUUGAGUCUAGAGUUUUUCUAUCAUGAUAAUUUGCUUUUCUAUUAUCUUCUAAUUUUUUCCAUUUUAGUCCAACUGCCUUGUUUCCUUGUCACAAUGCGUUAAUGGCAUUUCCUCAAUUUAACGUUUUAUCUUUGUUUCACUAUUAUUUUUUGUUGUUCAAGUUUUUAAGUUGUCAUGUAAAGUGUUAUCACAAUGAACUUUUAUUGGAUAAUCUCACAUCUCUAGAUUGUUUCUGUCGGUCUUUUCAGUUGCUGGUAUUGACCGAUAAUCCUGAGGAGUCAAUAACUGUAGUGUAAAUCCUGCAGCCAUUAUAUGGUUGCAGGAUUUACGCUACAGUGGUGUCUCCUGUUGCCUGCUGACUGUGACAGCAGCAGAGAUUGUUGGAUUAAAAAUGUUGGCUGUAAUUUGAUAAAUCUAACUUUAGUUAAAAAUUAUCUGAUUCUGGUUGCUUUACCAGCAGCUAACAAUUUUAAUCCAACCAUCUAUUGGUACAUGCAGUUUUAACUUACCUGUUUUUGCAAGCAGAGUUAUGAGAUUACUUUAGGAAACAUCUUGGGAUGCAUGAUAGUGGUUUUUUUUUUGUUCUGAUAUGUUGACAUUUACAGAUUGAUUCUGAUAGCAGUAUGGAUACCAAUAUUUACAUGUUUUACAAACCUAAAAAUCGACUAUUUUGUAGUUUAUAUGGCCAAAAUUUAUAGUCAAUGUAUACUGAUAUUCUCAGCCAAAAUACCAGCUGUAAAUCUCAUCAGUAACUAAAAAAUGGCAAAUACCAGCAGAUGUCAAACUUUCUAUCUGCUCAUACUGAUAUCAGACUGUUAAUAUCAUGCAUCCCAAGAAACCUCUACAGAUCACUCAAGAACAGUUGGUAAUAUACUAAGUAACUUUAAAAACACACAUUGAAAUUCAUGAAUAUAUUACUUGUAAUUCAUGAACUUUAUUUCCAAUUAUAGUUAUUAUUCUUAUUGCACACAUCUUGUGGGAGACAUGCACACAAAAAUCAGGAAUCAAGGAAACAGUUUAUUCAAUCACGCAAUAAAAAGUUGACAAUACCA
Molecule: long non-coding RNA, 7485 nt
Organism: Cheilinus undulatus (humphead wrasse)
Lineage: Eukaryota; Metazoa; Chordata; Actinopteri; Labriformes; Labridae
Exons: 10
Source: RefSeq, a predicted model, not a curated record